Long non-coding RNA from Syzygium oleosum, 1346 nucleotides. RefSeq lists it as uncharacterized. The transcript is spliced from 2 exons. The record is from RefSeq and is a predicted model, not a curated record. NCBI's taxonomy places the organism in Eukaryota, Viridiplantae, Streptophyta, Magnoliopsida, Myrtales, Myrtaceae.
CAGAGUUGGAAAUUCUUCCACCAUUUCCAACCAAUCACCGACCUCAUUUCGUUGAACACGCAGCUCACCGGUCUUCCUCAAGGUGUCUUCAACAUCCUAGUGAUCAGCGUUCCCCGAGGUGUUCGCUGGAAGACCAGGAAAUCUACCAAUCUUCUCUCCAUUGCGAUUACCAAGCUCCACGCCGAUAUCCUGUGUCGCUAGUCCUGACACCAUUUUCAGCCAUCCGUCAGCAUAUCUUUUGAUGGCCAAUCGUUGCGACUCCAUUCCCCAAUGUGUCCUUGACUUUUUCCUGGCCAGCACUCAUCGGACUCAUGAUCGAUCGUCCUCAAUUACCUUUUGAUUGUUCAUUUGGAGUUUAUUAUUUUGAAUACCUUAUUGAUUUUGUUCGCUGGUUCCAGCUGAUUGCCGAGCUUCCUUAGCCAUCUAAUCCUUGUGAUUAGAUUCUUCGUGGUAUCCUCAAAGUCAUCACAGUGAUUGAUUACCUAAAUCCUCGCCCGAGGUCCCUUAGAGAAGCCGGAUUGCUCGUUGGAGUUCCUAUACUCAAGACUCGAACAUCGGAGAAUUCAACCGAAGUCAAUAAUCCAGAAUAUACGUCAUGGGUGUGUAGUGACCGCCUCGUAAAGUCUUGGAUCGUGGGCACACUCUCAAAAGAGGUUCUCGGACAUGCUAUUGGACUUCAAACAGCAGCUGAAGUGUGAAAGGCUCUCACCGAUCAUUUCAAGCAAAGCUCGGUGACUUGAGAACUUGAUCUGCUUGGACAACUUCAACACAAUAGGAAAGAAAAUAAGCCUUUAUCUGUCUAUCUUCGUGACUUUAAAUCUAUUUACUAUCAAUUGCAUUCCAUUGGUAAACCUGUGUCGGAUGCUAAUAAAUUCUUCAGAUUACUUGAAGGACUUGAUGAUAGCUAUGAGUCAUUCAAAAUGACCAUGUUCAGGCCUCCUCUUCUAUCUCAUGCUGAAGUGGUUGCACAACUUCAAAGUUAUGAGUUACGAAACAAGCGCACUUCAACCAUGCUCCCAAACAGUUCAAUGGCGUUUAUCUCGCAGCGACAUAAUGGUGGCUACAAAAACACCCCAAAGGAAGGGGUACAGGACCCACAUUUAAUUCUAGGGGUCGUGGCUUUUCUCAGACAAACCAAAAUGGUCGGCAAUUUUCAGGAAACUACUAUACAACUCAGCAAACCAAACCGUUGGUGUAUCGUCAAACUCAAACUUCGAAGUGCCAUCUCUCAUCUGUCAUAUUUGUAAGAAGAAGGGGCAUGAUGCAUUGAAUUACUGGUAUCGUUUCGAUAACAAUUAUCAGAGUAUUAAUAUACCCCAUGGCUUGGCUACACUUCAUAUCUCAAA